Molecule: transfer RNA, 83 nt
Filed under: Stigeoclonium helveticum
Lineage: Eukaryota; Viridiplantae; Chlorophyta; Chlorophyceae; Chaetophorales; Chaetophoraceae
Description: tRNA-Tyr
Rfam family: tRNA
About the family: Transfer RNA (tRNA) molecules are approximately 80 nucleotides in length. Their secondary structure includes four short double-helical elements and three loops (D, anti-codon, and T loops). Further hydrogen bonds mediate the characteristic L-shaped molecular structure. tRNAs have two regions of fundamental functional importance: the anti-codon, which is responsible for specific mRNA codon recognition, and the 3' end, to which the tRNAs corresponding amino acid is attached (by aminoacyl-tRNA synthetases). tRNAs cope with the degeneracy of the genetic code in two manners: having more than one tRNA (with a specific anti-codon) for a particular amino acid; and 'wobble' base-pairing, i.e. permitting non-standard base-pairing at the 3rd anti-codon position.
Source: RNAcentral
GGGAAAAUGGCUGAGUGGUUAAAGGCAACAGAUUGUAAAUCUGUCGACGUUUGUCUUCAUAGGUUCGAAUCCUGUUUUUCCCA